Ictalurus punctatus (channel catfish) is the source of this 13897-nucleotide long non-coding RNA. The record is from Ensembl. Lineage: Eukaryota; Metazoa; Chordata; Actinopteri; Siluriformes; Ictaluridae.
AUAUAUAUAUAUAUAUAUAUAUAUAUAUAUAUAUAUAUGUGUGUGUGUGUGUGUGUGUGUGAGAAGUUCUUAUAUUAUAGCAUGAACUCUUCACAUCGAUUGAAGACUUCACUUCUGAAGCAAAGGUCUUCAUUCUUUUUAUUUUAUAAGCUCUGUAAAGAGAUAAAAGAUAGAGCCCGUGUUCUUCGUAUAUAGCAGUUUCAUACUUCUUGUAUUUUCACGUGUAUGUUUAACUAGUUUCACAUUUUCUUGGAAAUGAUUAUCUGAUUUUGGUUUGGGAAAGUAUUCUGAUUUUGUGGCACAUUUUAUCGUGUUUUUUUUUCUGCUGUAUAAUUUUUUUUAUAUAUAUAUAUUUUAAAAAAAAAAACUUUUCUUAAUACUCGCUUACUUCCUUAGCAUCUUAACCAGUUUUAUAUCACAUAAAAUAUACAUAUAUAUAUAUAAUAUAUUUAAUAUAUGUUUAUACUCACUCUCAUAACUCCGUUAGUUUAUUUCAUGCCUCUGCGUUUAAGAAGUUGCACGCGUCUUAUGCCUAACGAGCACGUUUCAUACUCCCACACCUAACCUCGUUUGUAUUCACCCUAAUAUGACCUCAUUUACACUCCCGUCCUCUUCCUACGUUAAUAAACUGUUUGGUUAUUAAUCGUUUGGUCCAGGUAGAGUUGGACCACCGUAGACCGCAGUAAUUAACGUGUUUCAGACUCCUGACCUUGUUGGAGACGAAGCCAUACUUAAGGUGGUCCUUACGUCCAUGCUUAAAGGUGCAACAGUCGAUGUUUGUAUUUCGUGCAAAUAACCUGACGACAACAACGACAACGACAGCAGCUUCGGAUUCAGUCUGCGAAAGUCGCUGAGAAACCCUGUUCGGAAAAGCGACUUCCCAUGCCUCCUGUCGGUCGUUUUAUAAACAGUCUACGGGUCACCGAAGAUCCUGGGGGCAGAGCUUCAUAAACAUGGAGGCAGGAGUGUGGGGGUGAGCUCAGGAAUCAUCCAAAUCUCAGAAUCCACCUAAAACAACCUAGACUAGACUAGUAGAGUCUAAUCAGGGGGCGUUUGGUUACUUUAAACUUUUAUUUUAGACAGGGUGUAAGGAGUAAGUCGUUAAAUAAAAACGCACGUUCGUGUAGUGUUGUGCGUGCACGAGCUCUCGAUUAGUCAAACCCAUCUUUUAGCUGUCGCCCAAUAACACGAAACAAGCAGGAGAUCGUCGAGACGCAUCGCACGGCAUAUACGCAGUCUCCGUCUCUAUCUCCUAAUCAAUAGGCUGAUUAUUACAGCUCAGUCACUCUCUCGCUCUCCCGUUCCGACGUCUCUCUUGUUGACCUGCGCCGAAUAACAAUUAAGCCAAUUGAGACUCCGGCGGCCAUUUUGGAAAGUCCGGUCACGUCAGUACAGUUAUAGCCGCUGCGGUCUCUCUCACUGGAGAGAUUUUUACGCCGCUUUUUGUCUUUUAGCUCUCACUUAGCUGUGUACAUUACAGAUCCUACUGCGGCGGAAGGCUCCGAGGGCCUCGGGGUGCGACCCGCAAGCGCGUCGCGCCGAAACGCUUCCCCGCCGCGCUUCCAAUCACACCGCAUUUUACCGCGCAAUAAACGGUCAUCAUUUUGAACGUCUGAGUGUCUUCCAUACACACUUCUUAGUGCUUAGUGUCAUUCUGCUAACCAGGAAGUCAUGUUGAGUGUCUUCCCUAAUAUAGCACGGACCUGAACGCAAAAUUUGGUGUGGCUUAUUAGUUGCAAAUCAUUUCGUAAAAUAACCCCGAUAAACGUAUUUAGAAACCAUGUUCGCUUAUUCAACGUUUAGCUUUAUAACGGCUCUCCAAGACGGCCGCUCCUACGCUCCCGAGCGUGUCUUGCUCAUGACCUACGACCUGGGAUCUAGUCUCGGACCUUGGAUUACCUCUAGUGGCUUGUUCUUCCGCAUGUUCUCGACAACAUUUCCAGAUCGCAGCAUCCUUAAUGUUAAAAACGUCCCGCUCGUGCCCAAGCAUCCGUGUCAGACCUCCAUACUGUACGUCAACUGUACGUCAGAUUAUAAAGCACACUCUAGACAGGACAGAUUUAUUGUACCUUUCAGGUUAAGUGGAAAAGAACCUCUUGUCUGGGCGUAAUUGUAAAGUCAGCCGUACCGACUCCAGGCGAUAACGUUACAAAGGAAUAUAUUAGAGCUCCGUUUCACUGUCGUGUUCAGCGACGUUCACCAAAGCGUAUCCCUAAUAACGGACACCUUGUAAUUCGAGUAAUAUAGAGCUGGUAGAAACGAGAGACAGGCAGAUAGAGAGAAAGCGACGUGAGAGAAUAGUGAUAGACGGUUACGUGAUACAGAGAAAAAGCCGCAUGUGUUUCUCUUGCUAGUCCGCGCUCGAGUAUAUGAGUGCGUACGCUAUAGAGCGCUGAAGCAUCAUACCGAAGGGCAUGAAAUCCUAUUACACAGCACAGAGAGAGAGAGAGAGAGAGAGAGAGAGAGAGAGAGAGAGGACAUGUGUGGAUAAAGCAUUGUCUGUGGCCAGUCCCUGUGAAAUAACUUGAUACCAAAAACAAAUAACUCUUUUCUCCUGUCACUCACUCCACUCUCUCCUGCUUUUUCUUCAUUAUUUCUUUUCCCUCUGCCCUUCUGUCUGCCUCUCUCUCUCUCUCUCUCUCUCACGCUCGCGCUCUCUCUCUCUGUUUGCCUGCAAUGAAAAUGCAAAGUUGCAAAUCUUGCGCCGCCAUUAAAGUUUAAACACUCUUGUAUUACUUCGUGACCGAGCCCAAAGGCCGUUUAAAAUUGACGGACGUGGGAAUCCAGAGAGACCCGGGUUCAUCCUGUUUACCGCAAACGUUCCGGAUUUUUAGAAGCACGCUAACAGGACGCGAACGUAGCGAGUGAACGUGAAAGACGACGUAUCUUAUCCGAUAACGAUCACUUCUGUGAUCACGUUUGCCUUACGCCUUUCUCAGGGUACACCUUAUCGCCGCAGGUCAGUCAAGAGAUUAGUCAGGAUUCAAUGAGUCAGUUGGGUUUCUGCGUGUAGAGUAUCAUGACUCUGCGUUUAGCGACGGGGAAAGUAGAACCAUGGCUAAAAUCCUCAGGCCGUCCUUGAGUUCUUUUUAAAACGGCCAGUAAUUUGUGGUGAGGACGGAAACGCUUGAUGUUGUACAGAUUGUAUGAAGAAAAUCUUUUAGAAAGAAAUAAAAAUGACAGGAUAGAGCAUUUAUUUCAGUAUGCAGGAGAAGACGUUUCUUCUCUAGGGUCAUGUAUGGGUUUGUGCUUCUGUCACACACACACACACACACACACGCACACACACGCACGCACACACGCAAUUUUGUAUUAUGACGUGGAUUCUAAGAAUAGAAAGCUGUAAAAUCACACACACACACACACACACACACAAUCACACACACGCUUAUUUCUGCCCGGAUUGAUGCUAAUUGGCAGCAGAAUGUCUUGCUGACAGGCUUCCUGCCUCCUUCUCCUCUCUCCUUCUCUCCCUCCUCUCUCUCUCUCUCUCUCUCUCUCUCUCUCUGUCUCCUCAUGUGACAGGACAGAGAUCCACCGUCAACUCUACCGCAGAUAUAAACCAGCAGGGAUCGUCAAGGUCUUUAAACACAUACGAGGAGCUCGGGAGGAUUUCUCCCCACGCCCGUCCUCUCAGACGUUUAGUCUCUUUCGGACUCCUCCCAUCCUCCUCGGCUGUUUAGCGAUAAGCGACAUUAGAUCACGAUCGCUGAUCCAUCUCAAGUCGUCAGGCAUCAAACAGAUUCCUUCAAUCGGUAGUGGCCUGAAACAGAAAUGUCGCGCUCUCUUCUUCACGCCGGAUCAGUGUGGUCCAUCUGUAAUAGACGGUUCUGAUUUUAGAUGCCCCUCUCAGCAGGCGCUCUGCUUGUGCGGCUUGAGUACGAGCUGACAGUUAACAAAGUGCAGGCGACUCGCAUGGGCGGAGGAGCGUGUCCCGGCUGGCUGCGUUUUUUUUUUUUUUUUUUCGUUUUUUUUUUUUUCCUCGAGCUCGAUGCUCGCAUUUAAACACAGAUCACACCGCUUUAGCUUCUUCAUUUAUUUAUCAGUGCUAAUGUCUCCUUCCUGGGUUAAGCCGAUAAGAUAUAUUAUCCCGUGCUCUUAUAAAAUACGAAACAACCCUUUAAUACGUCUGAGAGUGUUGGAACGGCAAGGCCAGUUCAUUUUUCAAAUGAAUUUUGCUGUAGAGCGAUUUCAGCUUUCAUUUCCUGGUAUUUAUUUAUACGUGGCUGUGUCAAACAACACGUGUAGAACAUAGCACAGUUUGGAUCAGGCUACACAAAAAUAUUGGAACGCGUGACUGACAGGUGUUUCUUGUUACCCAGGUGUGUCCUGUUAGAUGGACUGUUUAAAGAAUAAAUAGCUCCGGAUAUCUACUCUCGGUUUUAGCCUUCAGUUUCACCCGUGCAUUUGUCGUUAAAAAGGACAAACCAACAUGAAGAUCAGAGAGCUGUCUAUGGAAGAAAAGCAAGCCGUUGUAAAGCGGAGAAAAGACGGACGAUCGAUCGGAGCCAUUGCACAAACAUUGGGCAUAGCCAGUAGAACGACGAGAUGUCAGGAAAAAGAAAGAAACCACCGGCGUACUGAGGAACAGACACCGAAUGGGUCGAGCAAGGACAACGACAGCAACUGAUGACAGAAACGUUGUCCGUGCCGUGCGUGAUAUUUACUUUAGUUUACUUUAAGACUUACCUGUUCCUAUACAUUUGCUCGACUAACGAUCGGGUGGUCUGAUACAAAAGGUUCUAUGUUUUGCGGUGUUUAACACAUCUAAAUGUAAAUACCAGGAAAUAGAAGCUGAAAUCCUCAACUCUCAUCUCACACCCAUGUCUUUGGUGUAUGUCACAAACAAAUGAAUUGGCCUCGCCGUUCCAAUAGUUUUGGAGGGGACUGUACAUGAGAAAGCAAAAAAAAACGGUUUCUUAGUGCUGUGCAUGACCGUGUGUCUUAGGCCAUCUUGUGAUAAUAGAGGUGUGUGUGUGUGUCUAUUCUACUCGUGUCGAAAACCUGUGUGCUACAGUCUACACAGCCGUGUAACUGUCUCUAAAAGUGUCCAGAGAGAGAGAGCGAGAGAACGAGAGAGAACGAUAGAACUAGAGAGAGUGAGAGAGACUUACCUAGGCCAGUCUAAUCUGAAGCCAGCAGCUGUAACAGUCAGAGUAUUACCGUGAACCCGCUCCUGUGGUGUGUAGGUUAAGCAGUGAUAGGGCCCCGUAAUCUAAAGAAGCGUUCUGCUUUUCUUGGCUGGAGGAAGAAAAAAAAAAAAAAAAAGCCCAAAAGAACGAUGAGCUCACGCAGCCUUACUCAGCAGGAGCACACUUUAUGCUUACUGCGAAUAAUCUGAUAACUAAACCUUCGUCAUGGAAAAAAAAACAAACAACAACCUCACACACCUUAUACAUCUUCCGCACUGUGCGCUUCUAGCAUAAAUGCGACAGCUCAUCAGUUUCUCUCUUGCCAUAAAGGAAUACUUUAGAGACACUACAUAAUGAGGAUUUAUUUUUUUUAACGAUGAUGAUGAUGAUCAUGAAGGGUGGAUUGAAUCCAUAUAAUGGAGGAAGCCAUAAGGAAAUAGUAUUUGUACUGGUUAUUUGUGUGUUGAGUAAACGGUAAUUGUUUCUGGAUUUGUAAAAAAAAUAAAAUAAAUAAAUUGCACAAUUAUUAUAUGUUUUUUUAAAAAUUGUAUUUAUCCAUUAGCCUAUUUUGUUCUUCGUGAACAUGUGCCCAGGGUCGGGGGUUCGAUUCCCACCGUGGCCCUGUGUGUGCGGAGUUUGCAUGUUCUCCCCGUGCUGCGGGGGUUUCCUCCCCGAGUCCAAACACAUGCAUGGUAGGCUGAUUGGCAUGUCCAAAGUGUCCGUAGUGAGUGAAUAGGUUCCAGGUUUCCCCGUGACCCUGAAAAGGAUAAGCGGAGGAAGAUGGAUGGGAUGGGAUGUUAUAGUCAGAGUGUAGAGUAUCAAAAACAGUAAAAAUACCAUUAGUAAGACAAAAGAAAAAAUACUUGCGUAAUAGUUUCUAAUCUGAAUAUCUACUUGAGUAAUGUAUGUCGUUUAAAGUAGCUGUUCGUCAUGAAACAGACUGAGUGUUAAUACAUGCAGAUGCAUCUGAUUUAAAAACUCUUACUAUGAAGAUGUUAAGAUUCGAUGGGGAACAUUAGCACAUCUGCCUCACACCUAAAGGGUUGGGGGUUCGAUUCCCACCUCCACCCUGUGUAUACGGAGUUUGCAUGUUCUUUUCCUUCUCGGGGGUUUCCUCCGGGUACUGCGGUUUCCUCCUACAGUCCAGAGACAUGCAUUGGCAUGAUUGGCAUGUCCAAAUUGUCCGUAGUGUGUGUGUGUGUGUGUGUCUGUGAUUGUGCCCUGCGAUGGGUUUUCGCCCCGUCCAGGGUGUCCCCUGCCUUGUGCCACGAGUUCCCUGGGAUAGGCUCCAGGCUCCCUGCGACCCUGUGUAGGAUAAGCGGUAUGUAAAAUGGAUGGAUGUAUAUUAAGAUUCUAAGCGAGAGCUUCUGCUUGCUGUGACCUGCUUAUAGCGUUUAGCGUUCUCAUACAGCAGGGUGUCAGACACAGCGCUUAAAUGAUCAUUUAGUUAACGUUUUGUUUUAUUCACCUUCCAUUAUCUUCCAUCCUCUACUGCAUGCAGGAGUGUUUAUAAGCACAGUCCAAUGUUAAACAUGCUGUAACAGAGUAAGGGUAUAUUCAUAUUUACUAAUGUACUGUGCCUUGUCUUACUUGGACGUAGCCUCUCGUGUUGCUUUUGCGCCAUGAAGCUGAAUGGUCCUACUUGCGGUUUGUUGUCAAGCCGAAUAUUUGAUUAUGUGAAAUUAGGAAGUCAAUUCUUAUUUCUUGAACAUAGAUCUCAAUGUGGAAGGGUGAUCCAGACGAUCCUUUGUUGGAUCUGGAGUAAGCCUUUGUUGGAUCCAGACGAUCCUUUGUUGGAUGUGGUGUGAUCAUUUUUUGGAACCAGACGAUCCUUUGCCGGAUCCGGAGUGUCCUUUGUUAGAUGUGGUGUGAUAAUUUUUGGAUCCAGACGAUCCUUUGUCGGAUCUGGAGUUAUCCUUUAUUGGAACCAGACGAUCCUUUGUUGGAUCUGGAGUGAUCCUUUGUUGGAACCAGAUGAUCCUUUGUUGGAUCCAGAGUGAUCCUUUGUUGGAACCAUACGAUCCUUUGUUGGAUGUGGAGUGAUCCUUUGUUGGAUCCAGACGAUCCUUUGUUGGAUCUGGAGUUAUCCUUUAUUGGAACCAGACGAUCCUUUGUUGGAUCUGGAGUGAUCCUUUGUUGGAACCAGACGAUCCUUUGUUGGAUGUGGAGUGAUCCUUUGUUGGAACCAGACGAUCCUUUGUCGGAUCCGGAGUGAUCCUUUGUUGGAACCAGAUGAUCCUUUGUUGGAUCCGGAAUGAUCCUUUGUUGGAUCUGGAGUGAUCCUUUGUUGGAACCAGAUGAUCCUUUGUUGGAUCUGGAGUAUUAAUCUGCCCAGAAACAUCAGCUAGUGAAAGACAAAGGUCCUAAUGUCAGCUUUUUUCUUGUGCUGGCACUGGUCUACAGUAACGCUGAUGGUUGGACACAAUCCAAUUUUUUGUGCCAGUUUUUAUCUUCAUCAUAAAUGAAGGGGUGGAGCGGCACAAAAUGAGGGCGUUUCGAAUGAUAAUCAUUCCAAACUCUUUCUAAUAGUUGUUAAUUUCUCACAGCUGUUAGACAUGAGUAAUAUGCCAAGUUUGACUCUUUUGUUUAGCACGACUUUCCUGAGUAGAUUAGUUUCUAUAUGCAAGCUCUUCACCUGCAGCGAUCUCUGGCAGUAGCCUCAUGACUGACCCCUAAUAAAAAAGAAAAAAGGCGUGUAGCUGAGUAAAAGAAGGUAAAGGAUAAAUAAGAAUUUUGACUUUCUACGUAUAUGCAAAUCUGAACACCGACAUUAUGCUAAGCCGGCAUUUGAACAGCAAACACUCUUCAAACACGAUGAUUUACAGAAAUAAAUCACUAGAGCAAGCCGAGUCUGGCAUCUCAGCGGUGGGAAACGAUGCGUCGAGGCCACUCGGGUAGUUGACUCCUCAUUUGGAGGCUUCAGAGCGAGUGACUAAUUUACGCUGCCGGACAUGAAAGGAGCUUUGAAGAAACCGUUUGGUUGAGCGUCUCUGGGUCCUAGUGCCUAUCCGUUAAUAGAAACCCAGUCAGGCUUCCAGUGAGCGUGUUCCCUGUUUGACUCAUGAACAUUGAUCAGUUAGAAUGUCAAGAUUAAAGACUGACGGACAUAAGGAAAGAGUCAUUUUAAGCUAUUUAGGGUGCGUUCACAAAAGAUUGGAGACUUGUUGUACGUGGAAAAUGUUGCAUCGACCAUCUAUAUACGGUGGUCCGUGACAGUGAAGCGCUGACUUUCUUGGAACUGAAGGCAUAUACAGUAAUCAUACACAAGCGUAUACGUACAAUUGAGCUGCACCAAGAUGGUGCAGAUGUCCCCUCCAUCCACCAUAUUUAUUUAGGAGGGUAAUAUGAUGGACAAACUGCUCAAUUAAGUAUUAAACUUGGGGCUGGAUCUGGCUCAGAUUUACUGACUAUCACUCAUGCUGCGUUCUCAUAGGUGAAGUUUUUAAGGUGGUGUUUAUAUUUUUAGGUGUUUGGCUUUCUUUUUUCGACCUUAACGCUGCAGGGGAAGAGGUAUGUGUGUGUGUGUGUGUGUGUGUGUGGGUGUGUGUACUUAUUCCUGUGCCGAAUUAGAACCUGCUGAUGGCUGCAAUUUGUGCUUGUUGUCUUGCACCCGGGCCAUCAAGAGGCUGGUGGUUGCUACAAGUCAAAUUUGGGAACACGCAAUUAGCAGCUGGCUAAGGAGCUGCAGCACACAGCACUUUUGACCCCCCCAUUAGAGAGAGAGAGAGAGAGAGAGAGAGAGAGAGAGAGAGAGUGAGUUCAGGAACAAACAAGCACACAUUGCAAACCUGCAGACAGAUGUUCGGAGGAAUGCGGUGUUUUAUCUUGUGUUUCAAACCCCAGCCCUGAUAACACUCUCUCUCUCUCUCUCUCUCUCUCUCUCUCUCUCUCUCUCUCUCUCCCUCUUUCUUUCUCCUCUUAUUAUCCCUUGUCCACAGACACACAGUACUCCAGAAAUGCAGAUCUUUGUGAAACGCUACCAUAAGCAAAAUAAGCCAUAACCCGUAAUGACAAUUCUCACAUUACAGUGUGGUAAUUUGUUUUAUUCCAUUUUAUUUUCGAGUCUGACUUUGGACUCUGCGAGUUCAUGAACGUUUGACAUCUAUCGUCUAUCGACGUGUUCUUGCGGUUUUAUUAUAACAGACAUCUCAAACAUCAUCACCGCUCUUGCAUUCUUUUCUCCCUCUGGAAAUACGGUGCUCAGAAAGCGCCAUAAACACAGGCUCCUUCUUACGGACAUAUUUGAAAGUAGUAUCUCGAUUCAGCAAUGUUUUAUUUAGCAUCUCCUCCUUAUAUCCCGAGUCGUUUUAGUUAUCGACCGACCAACAGAAUUCUGACAAACUACGUAAUGCUUCAGGAAUCACAAUCUGAAAUCCGAAGUUUCGACAGUCAGUUUUUCCGUGCUGAGUCAAAGUCUUUGCUAAUAACAUAGCUAAUUAGUGAAGCUUUCGGACAGACAGGUAUCCCCAAAGGCCCUCGGUAAAGCUGCGACUACAGCGAGGUGGAACGUCGGUAGUGCAAGCGUAACCGAUAAUACGUCCAAUGAAACCCACACUCAAAUCGGAUCAAACACAGAUGGUGUCUUGUAGAUAUACAGGUUCGCUGUAUUACAUAUAGUAGCCGUGAUCCGGUAACGACCAGACGUACGCUGAUAAUCGAUUAGAUGCUGUUUUGUGAUACCGAACGAGAUGCAGACUAGACGGCAGGUUCCGAUAAAUUUCUAGUUAUUUUCAUCCAACCAUUUUCCAUCGCGCUCAUCCCGUACAGGGUCGCGGGGGAAUCCGGAGCCUAUCUCAAGGAACCCGGGCCACAGUGAUGGGCGACACCCUGGACGGGGUUGCCGACACAUCGCAGGGCACAAUCGCACUACGGAUAAUUUGGGAAUACCACUGAGCCUACGACGCAUGUCUUUGGACUUGGGGGUGGAAACCGGAGUACCCGGAGCAAACCUCCGAAGCACGUGGAGAACAUGCAAACUCCGCACACACAGGGUGGAGGCGGGAUUCGAACCCCCAAACCUGGAAGUGCGAUGCAGACAUGUUAACCACUAAGCCACUGUAGCACCACUUGAUUUCCAGCUUAUUAUACUGUAAAUAGUAGUCGAUGAUCCACCGUUUGGUUGAGCUACAAGACUAAUGUUUGGGGGUUUUUUGGAAAAUUUGGGAAACCUUGGGAAAGUGGAAAAGUGCUCUCUAAGAGCACUCAUAGAACCCUAAUUUAAGCGCAUGUUUAGAGUUACAGGCCUGAGUGGCUGUUGGUUCUAUUCUACUAUCUUCUUUGUCCGGCCUUUUCCCAUAUCUACUUGGGGUCGGCUCUCCUAAUCUUUUGUCUCCAGAUUGCUCUGUUCUGGGUCGUCGUUGGGCCUACAUUGUCUCUAGCGAGGUCUUUAUUUAUAACAUCCAUCCAUGUUAGGUGGGGAAUUCCACGGCUUCUCUUUCCUGUACCAAGCUCCAGCACUUUUCUGGUCAUGUGGUAUUCUGUUCUAUUCUACUAUAGUGAACUUUAUACAUUCAUGCAACAUUUUGGUCUGAAAUUGCCGUACAACAACAACAACAACAAGCUAGCUGUCUUUUCAAAAAACCUUUGUUAGUAUGGUCAGUGUUAUAGAUUUAACCAGGUGUCUGAAUAUGAUCUGGUCUAAAGCCAAUAUGGGGCGCACCGGGGUUAGCACGUUCGCCCACACCUCCACGGUCGGGGGUUCGAGUCCCACCGUGGCCCUGUGUGUGCGGAGUUUGCAUGCCGCGGGGGUUUCCUCGGGGUACUCCGGUUUCCUCCCCCAGUCCAAAGACGUGCAUGGUAGGCUGAUUGGCGUGUCUAAACUGUUCGUAGUGUAUGAAUGGGUGUGUGAGUGUGUAUGUGAUUGUGUGCCCUGCGAUGGAUUGGCACCCUGUCCAGGGUGUACCCCGCCUUGUCCCCGAUGCUCCCUGGGAUAGACUCCAGGUUCCCCGUGACCCUGAAAAGGAUAAAGCGCUAUAGAAGACGGAUAUACGGAUGGAACGAGGCAAAUACGUCAGCCGAGAAGACUAUCUCAAUGUGACGAGGCAAAACUGCACGUCGACAGGGCGUUUUCCUCGACGGUUUUUACAAGCUGCGACUUAUCUAAAGGAAGCAUACGGCUUUAAAGGUGCAAAAUUUAGUGUUUUAUUUCUUACUAGUAUACCAGUCUAUAGUAGCACGUGGCUGAGGAAACCCGUUUGGAAAACCUCUCUCCGCUCCGGAACGUUUGCUUGUGUUGUCAUCGACACUCCCUUUUUACUCGGACGUUUUUUUUCCCUCUUCAACAGCUUGCGUCCUCUCUUCUCUCAUUAAGGCAGAGGGUGUAUGAAACUCUUCUAAGCGUAGCGCACUCGCACAUUUUAUAACUCGGCGCCUUCGUUCUCUGCUUUUGAAAAGUAAAAAUCAUUUACAUAAAGUUUGAACUACACACAGUAGCCCAUCUGCUAUGUGAAAUAUUGGUGUGAGCGCACACACACACACACACACACACACACACACACACGUAGUAUUUGUUAGAUUAUUGUGUCAGUAACAGUGCUGAUGUGUCCAAAGCUGUCUGUCUGGAUAUCUAUCUAUCACACUCCUACAUCAUGGCUAGAUGAGUUCAUCACAGCUCACUACCAGCUCCAUGAGACUUUUUUGUUUGUGUGUGUGGUGUGUGUGUGUGGUGUGUGUGUGUGUGUGUGCGCGUGCAUGUGAACGCCUAUACUGUACAUCUGUACACGCGUAUAGCCGAUAUAGCCAAACUGCAUAACACACAUUUCUUCUAUGACAGCAUCGCGGUCCAUUUGAGACUUGCAGCCUUGCUCAGGCUCUGUUCUCAUUCUUCACGAAGUCAUUAAGCAUCCACACUUCAUCACAGCUUUUGCAUGACAUUUGAAAAACAGGCCAGUGUGAUUAUAGAGAGAGAGAGGAAGAAAGAGAUUUCGAAAUGCUCAAGCAGUGCGUUAGCAUUAAAACGGUGUAAUGAGUGUACCAGGCACAUCAGGCGAGCACCUAUGCGGAGUGUCCCACCUUCCAAAAAGCGUGCUGCUAGGUGGAUCGGCUACUCUCGGUGUGAACGAGGGCGCGAAUUAGAGCUGCAACAACUUAGCGCUAAUAAUCGAUUAUGAAAAUCGUUGGAAACGAAUCUCGUUAUCGAUUAGUCUGCGCGUAGCACGGUGUACGUUUACUCCAUCACGUUACUUCUGUUCCGAAAACACGUAUCGGAGAGUGAAUACUAUAGUUGCGUCCCAGAUUAUGUACUGCACACUUACACUAUGCGCUAUGUACUCUAUCGUCUAGCGUAUGAAUUUUAGAAAGGUAAUAUCGUGUUAAAUGGAGCACUCGCGUUUUUUAAUUUGUACUAACUGGAAGUAUAAGCCGCUUUCCUGUCCACGGCAAAAAUGACGUCAAACGCACGUAAAGCUAACUUUAAAGCUUUAAAGCUAACGUAAAGCUAACUUUAACAGAUACCCAGAGUCAAGGACAAUGACUUUCUCCAGUUUACUGUUUAUAUCAAUGUUAUCUUUUAUACCCAACACGACCUCAGUGACCAUCAGACGAGGCGUCAGGCAGGGACGCGUUUUAUAUUAUAGAAGACGAUGCAGUACGGAAGCACGACAGUGAUGCACGAGCACAAACUUGUGUUUAUAUCCAAAAUGCUCCACUGUUCAAGGGGUUGGGGAAACUGGUGCCAGUUGCUUAAAAGGUUUAGUUUAAUAAGUUUAGUUUAAAAAUUUUAUAUAUAUAUAUAAUGAGAGGAAUGAGAGGAAAAAAAUUUAGUAUUUUAUUUCUUACUCGAAAGCGCUCGAUUUUGCUGCAGCGUUUUUCAAAAUUUGCGAUGCAACUUGCUGAGUUUUUAAAAACGACUUGAAAAGUCACAAUUGCACAAAACCGUCUUGCGCAGUGUUGUCUGUCGGUAAACGAGACCUUCUAGACGUACCCGUGUUCGACGCACGUGAAUCGAAGAGGGCUUCACCUGAACGCGCGGCGUGACGACGUCACGUGAGGCGUCUCGGCCCGAAUCUGCGUAAAAUCCUCGGUAAUUUGGAGAAAUUGCAAAUCUCCUCCGAAUAUCCUGGAGUUUGCUUUAAUUUCGCGUUAAUUAGGAUCGCAGAAUCCUGGAGGGACUUUACUAUGUCAUAACAAGAGCGUUAAACACAUCCUGUUAUAAACACAAUGAAACCGAGAACAAAUACUGGACGCUUCGAGUACGUGAGGUCGACGCAGUGAAACCUACACGUGCGACAGUCAGUUCAGGUUUGCGCCACUGUUCAGGGUUUGUUUGGGUCGGAUUGUGUGCUGUCGCCGGGUCUCUACCGUCACCCGCCGUUCACGUCUCAGCUGGAACUGCUUUCCGAGCCGUGCUGUUAAACAAAACUAACGCACACCUUCUGACCAAUCAGAUUCGAGAAUUCACCCAGGCUUGUAUAAAUAAAAAGCAGAGCAUGUUUUCAAAGAAUAAUUUCCUAGGAGUGUUGCAUUCGAUGUUACCGUAUUUAAUUUGUCCAGAAUAAAUCAUUUUAAAAAAUAAUUAAAAAAAUUUUUUGGAAAAUGAAAUAAAAAGGAGGGGGAAAAAACGGGAAAAUCUGUCUCUAUUUUCUCUUAAAGAGAUGAAUUAUGUAAUGAUUAUCACCCUGUUAUUUAUUUAUUUAUUUAUUUAUUUAUUUAUUUAUUUAUGUGUAUGCUCAUUGUGCACAUUGAUUACUGUCAAUGGGUAAAUUAAUCACUGCACUUCACCCAUACACCGUCAUAUGCUCUUCAUUUUACAGCCUUUUACAUUUUUA